RNAcentral lists this ribosomal RNA (455 nucleotides) under uncultured bacterium. Its description in RNAcentral is "bacterial SSU rRNA". It matches the Rfam family "Bacterial small subunit ribosomal RNA", at positions 30 to 477 of the family's 1533-position model. The record is from RNAcentral.
AUUAAACGCUGGCGGCAUGCCUUACACAUGCAAGUCGAACGGCAGCACGGGGGCAACCCUGGUGGCGAGUGGCGGACGGGUGAGUAAAGCAUCGGAACGUAUCCUGGAGUGGGGGAUAACGUAGCGAAAGUUACGCUAAUACCGCAUAUUCUGUGAGCAGGAAAGCAGGGGAUCGCAAGACCUUGCGCUCUGGGAGCGGCCGAUGUCGGAUUAGCUAGUUGGUGGGGUAAAGGCCUACCAAGGCGACGAUCCGUAGCGGGUCUGAGAGGAUGAUCCGCCACACUGGGACUGAGACACGGCCCAGACUCCUACGGGAGGCAGCAGUGGGGAAUUUUGGACAAUGGGCGCAAGCCUGAUCCAGCCAUGCCGCGUGAGUGAGGAAGGCCUUCGGGUUGUAAAGCGUCUUUCAGGUGGAAGAAAUUAGCACGGGUUAAUACCCUGUGUAGAUGACGGUA